GACGAACGCUGGCGGCGUGCUUAACACAUGCAAGUCGAGGGCACUUUGGGGGCAACUCUGGAGUGACCGGCGAACGGGUGCGUAACACGUGAGCGACCCUUGCCUCGUGGUGGGGGAUAGCCCGGCCCAACGGCCGGGUAAUACCGCAUAGGGUAGUUCUUUCGCAUGGGAGAACUAGCAAAGCCGUGCAGCAAUGCACUGGCGCCACAGGGGGGGCUCGCGGCCUAUCAGCUAGGUUGGGGGGUAAUGGCCCACCAAGGCGACGACGGGUAGCUGGUCUGAGAGGAUGGCCAGCCACAUUGGGACUGA
RNAcentral lists this ribosomal RNA (309 nucleotides) under uncultured bacterium. RNAcentral's name for it is "partial 16S ribosomal RNA". It matches the Rfam family "Bacterial small subunit ribosomal RNA", at positions 28 to 322 of the family's 1533-position model. The record is from RNAcentral.